Molecule: long non-coding RNA, 1113 nt
Organism: Stylophora pistillata
Lineage: Eukaryota; Metazoa; Cnidaria; Anthozoa; Scleractinia; Pocilloporidae
Source: RefSeq, a predicted model, not a curated record
UUCAACAUGGCGGCGGAAGGUGUUAGAUGUGAUACAAAAUCACAGCUAGCUUUGGCUUAAAACCACGAGCAGGAAGUCAACUUGACAUUCAUUUCAUUUUAAACAAAUUUUCCAGAAUAUGAUGGCAUUUGGACUCAAGACAGAUGGAAACGGCGGCUGCAAAACAAAGAAAUGAAGGCCGCGUUGCUCAUGUAAUUCUAAACAUUCAUGCCAAAAAGAGAUUCUUUUACUCUGAUGAAGUAGAGACAAGACCAAGAAUAGAAGUGUUUUCUGGCUAGAAAGUUGUGAAAAAGAGGAAUGUUUAUGCUGUUUCACCAUAAGAAAAGAUUGACCCACUGAGUGUUAGCUUGAAUGUCUGAUUGGCUUAGUACUCUGCAGACAGAUUCAUUAGUGGCUGAUGUUGGCUUUCUUUCUUAAAAUUCACACAGCUUACUAUGGCCAAACCUGGAUGAGGGUGCCUGGGUAACUGUAAGGACGUCAGUUAGAUUGGAGGAGUCUGGUUUUGGCACAGCAUCAAGACCAUGAGAUUGACAAGACAUUUAAGAGGAGACAGAGGAUAAAAACCUGACAGUUUCCUUCAGAUUGUAAGAGGAAGACAAAAGAAAAUGGAAGGUCCAAGAAAAAAUAGUUUGCGAAAUAUUUAGCCUUGAGAGGCAAGACAUUCAGGCUUUAGUUUGACAUGAACUCCUUCAACAUCUUAUGACCAUCAUCCUUGCAUAUUUGGAAAAGCAACCGGAUGCCUUUUAAGAAGAUUCCCCAGCCUAAUAAGAGGGUCUUAAUAGGGUUUGACCGUCAGCUGUUAGAGGGCUUAAAAUGUAACUGUCAGCCGUUAGGGACGGACUACUAUAUGGAGAUAACAAAUCUGAAAAUAACUGAAUAUUUCAUGUAAUACGCAUGAAUUGUGUAUUAAGAAAGACAUUUGCUUACAGAAAACGCAUGCGUUUUUGAAAAGUGUUUAUCACGAAGUAGACAACUUAUUGAAAUACUUAACAAAUCUAUCUGAAGGGUGGGCGACGUGGGGGAGGUUGGUUAGGUGAAAAUAUAACUGUCUUAAAAAUUAUUGUAAUAUUAGAACUAUCUUAAAUAAUAAUAUAACUGUCUAAAAUUAUUGUA